RNAcentral lists this ribosomal RNA (450 nucleotides) under uncultured Mucispirillum sp. RNAcentral's name for it is "bacterial SSU rRNA". It matches the Rfam family "Bacterial small subunit ribosomal RNA", at positions 354 to 796 of the family's 1533-position model. The record is from RNAcentral. Lineage: Bacteria; Pseudomonadati; Deferribacterota; Deferribacteres; Deferribacterales; Mucispirillaceae.
GUGGGGAAUAUUGCACAAUGGGCGCAAGCCUGAUGCAGCCAUGCCGCGUGAAUGACGAAGGCCUUCGGGUCGUAAAGUUCUUUCGACAGGGAAGAAAAUGCCUAUAAGUAACUGUGUAUGUAUUGACGGUACCUGUAUAAGCAGCCCCGGCUAACUCCGUGCCAGCAGCCGCGGUAAUACGGAGGGGGCGAGCGUUGUUCGGAGUGACUGGGCGUAAAGAGCACGUAGGCGGUGUUGUAAGUCAUUAGUCAAAGACUAGAGCUCAACUUUAGUAAGGCUAGUGAUACUAUAAUACUAGAGUAUCAGAGAGGAUUGCAGAAUUCCUGGUGUAGCGGUGAAAUGCGUAGAUAUCAGGAGGAAUACCGUUAGCGAAGGCGGCAAUCUGGCUGGAAACUGACGCUGAGGUGCGAAAGCGUGGGUAGCAAACAGGAUUAGAUACCCUGGUAGUCC